This 2989-nucleotide long non-coding RNA is filed under the name Lactuca sativa (garden lettuce). RNAcentral describes it as "long non-coding RNA (LSAT_LNC009566)". Lineage: Eukaryota; Viridiplantae; Streptophyta; Magnoliopsida; Asterales; Asteraceae. The record is from RNAcentral.
AUCAUAAAGCUUUUCUGGAAAGACGCAACCAUUAUGUUUGUCAUCAAAGGUAGAUCUAAGAACCCAUGUCUCAAGAGUCAAGAUUACUUCCCAAAUUUUUUAUUAAUUCUGCAAAUUAGUUCAUAAAACACACUAAACAAAACUAGAAAAAUAACAAACAUUAUUAGCAACAAUUUUGUCAAACAGUUGGUGUGCAACAAUUCUUCACCAUUUCUUCAUCUUCAUUCUCAUCCCAAGACCCAUACAAAAUCGAUCUAGGAGACCCAUAACACCCACCUUGACUUUCCUUAACAAACCCAUAAUACAUCAUCAAACCACCAUUUCCAAGAUCUUCAAAGCUCGAUUCUUUAACACCAUAACCCAUUUCCAUGCAACGAUACAUAAAAUUCAAUGUGUUUGAAACAACUCAACACCCUUUUGACCAGAAGAGUUAAAUCGAUUGAUGAUUGAAACAACUCAACACCCUUACCUAAUAAGCCGCUUAGCACUCACUUUCAAAAUCGAUUAAAGAUGAAGAGGAUUAGUAGUGGUGGAAGAAGAAGUUGUUCGUGGAUUGAAGGAGAAGGAGAAAGAAGAAGUCACGCCGUUUAGGAGCAAAGAGAUAGAGAAGGGCAAAUACGUGAAACUAGUGCGAAGGACCGAGUCAGCUACUUUUUCUUUGAGGACCGAAUCAGUGGUUGUGGACUGAAUCAGGUGUGCAAAGAACUCUAAUCAAACAAGCUGACCAGCUGACCCGGACCGAGUCAGAAAAAAAGGUCUGACUGGACCGAGUUAACUGUAUGUUUGGCAAUUAAAUCAACAAGGAAUCUUACGAUUAACAACAUUAAGGAACAACUUUCUAUUUAGCAUUCUCUUAUGUUGUAAUUAAGAUCACAGGGAGCUCUGUAAUAUGCAGGCAUGGUCGAAGGGAAGAACAUCUGACGUACUCCUUCCGCUUUUAUGAUCGGAAAUAUGAUUCCAGAUGCACCCUGCAUCAUUUUAAUGGUAUGCCAAUUUUUAGAUUUUAGAUUUCAAUUUUAUUAAAAGGGAAAUCUCUGAUAAAAUCCUAAUAUUUUAGGUCAAUUUACGAUUUAGUCCCAAAUUAAAUUUUGUUUACAAAAAUAGACAGAUUACCGGCUAAAACUUCGGAAUAACCCUUCGUGGCCGGUUUCACAGAUUUAGCCGAUAUCUCGUCUUUUUUCGUUAAUUAAUCCAAAUUUUGGGGCUUUUUCAUUAAUUAAUCAAAAUUUUAGGGCUUUUUCAUUAUUUAUUACCAAUAAACCAAAAUAUUUGGACUUUUCUGAAGACUACCUUUAAACUAAUAUAUAUUAUAUGAUCUAACUUAAUAUGUACCAUUCCCUGUCUUCUUUCUUACGCUCUUCUAGGCGCACCGUAUGUUUUUAUUGUCGUCGUCAAACCCAACAACAAAAAUCUCACUCACAAGCAUUGUUAACUCCAUCGAUUUUCCAAAAUCAUCCAUUCAUAACUCUACGAUCAUCUUUCAAUCUCCAAAUGAAGAAAUGAGAAAAUCAUUGUUGAUUAUGUGGAUGCCCCUAUUACCUAACCAUGACUUAAACCAUGGUUCCAAUACUCAGAUGUUCCUAUUACCUAACCAUGACCUGAAUCCUAUUUCGAACCCAUACACUAUUCGUAUUGUCCAUAGUGUUGUUCACAACAAAAUACGAAUCCCACAUGGUUUAACCACUGAUACCUUGGCUCAAGUCUUACAUGACCCUUGUUUCCUUACAAUAGGGCUUGAAAACCAUGAAGAAUGUUAACUCUAAUUGUUAAAAAAAAAAGUCAGCAAGCUAUCCAUCAUAAACUAUUAAAAAUAUUAAUUUGGUAUUCCUACGAGCUACGGUUCCAACACUUGGAUGUUCCUAUAACCUAACCAUGACUCAAACCUUAUUUCGAACCCAUACACUAAGGCAUUGACCAUAGUUUUGUUAACAAGAAAAAUUGAAUCCCACAUGGUUUAACCACUGAUACCUUGGCUCAAGUCUUACUUGACCCUUGUUUCCUUACAAUAUGUGUAACAUCCCAACUCUCAGGUAUAAUAUUUAAUUAAUUUAUAUUCUUGUUGUCUGAUAAACUUGACGAGUUGAAGGCCCCAACUUGCCGAGUAGAGAGUGUUAAUGGUCGCGUAAUUUCUAGAGUCUACUCGACGAGUUGGAGGAUCCCAACUCGACGAGUAGGAGCUAAGUGUGAAAACCCUAAUUUUCAGGGUUUGUGUCCUAUUUAAAGGACAUUAAGCCUUCAUUUUCGCCUCCCUUAUCAUCUUAACACUCUAAGAGAAACCCUAAUCGAGCUAUAUGCUUGUAGGAGAGAAAGAGGGGCUAAUAUUGCAUAUUGUAGUGCAUUUUUGGAAGAAGAUUGAGGAGAAAAAGGCUUGGGACGAGAAGGAGCUCUUGGAUCCAAUGUUCUUUCAUUGCUAGCUUUUGUUUGAAGGUAAAAAGCUACCACCUUGAUCAUUGUUUGGUUAGAUCUCUUUUCUAGGGAGUUUAUGGCCUUUUUCCAUCCUUCUUUGGGUCCUUGUGUUGUUUGAGCUUGCCAUGGAGUUGAGACUUCAGAUUUGAACAAUAUGAGGUCCCUUGAGCCUAAAGAUCCAAGCUUUAUCAAGCUAGUGGCAAGCUUUCAUGCAUUAAGCCCUCUAUAGAGCUUGUUUUGGCAUUUUGAGCCCUGGAUGCCAUGCAUGGACGUAAAGCUUGCAGCUUUAUGUGGUUUUUCAGCAUUGGGAGGCUAGAUCUAGAGUAUGGGACCUUAGUUCUGCAUAAAAACGCCUAAAUGAGAAAAGGGACUUAAGGGACUCGACGAGACGCAUGACCGGAGGGUCCAUGCCGAGUUAUAGCCAUGAGAGGCUUAUUAUUUGUGUAUGUGGUAUUUUGGGGAACUCACUAAGCUUCGUGCUUAUCGUGUUGUGUGAUAUGUGUUUCAGGUACUUCUCAGGAUCGCGGGAAGGCGGCAGCUUGAUUGUACACAUCAGUUAGAAAUCAUGAUUUGAGGAUUCUAG